CUAUGGCAUCCUUGGAUUCUAGGCUUCUCUUAGCCACAAACUGGCUGUCGCCCUGGGAAACCCACAUCUUUCCUCUGGACUUCUGUUCCCAACCAUAAGAGAAGAGGGUAUGCACACUCUGCCACAAACAUAGCUCAGCCAUUGUUACAGUCCAGAAGGUAACCUUCACUCUUGUUGAGGCGUUAUGUCUGCAGGGGGCUGGAGCCACCGCACAUGGGAGCCUGGAAGCAUCCCACCCACCUUCACCUCCUGCUCACCAUAAAUCCUCAUUAUCAUGUUGUCAGCACUGGAGUGUGUUAACCUCUUCAGUGACCAGGCUGUCAGGCUUGAAGCUGGAUUUGGUACCCGAGCACUAAUUUGCCAACCACUACUAGAUCAGCAUUAUGAAGUGCAUGAGGAAGCCGGCCAUACUGCAUGCCAACUCUCUGGUUUCAUGACUCAUUAUUUCAAAGGAUAAAGCAAAAGGAGAAAAAGUUGUGCUAUUGACAUGUCCUCACCACUUGGAAGACUUUCACAGAAUAAUAAACCUUAUCAUCAUCUCCUUCUUGACAUAAAUGGCCAAUUUUCAAAGCCCAUCAAUCAGUGUGACCUUUUGUGCAUUGGCAAACUUCUGUACACACUGCAACUUCAUUUUUAGCCCAGAAAGGAUAAUGUUUAACAACUCUUUCCUGUAUAAGCAAAUUGAGCAACUCCAAGUCAAUGACUUCUGAAUAAUUGGAGCAGGGUUCCUGUGUUUUCAUAACUGACCCAUGAUAAAUUCAACAGGAACGGUCACAUAAAUAGCAGACCCCUUGCACUAAGGAUGUUAGGAGUGAGAGCUCUCACUGAAAAUUUGACCAUAUUAUGCAAUUUUUUAACCUACUGAAUGAAUAAUUCCAUGACACAGGCAAACAAUGCUAUUUCUGAAAAAUGCUUCAGAGAACUCUUAAAUCUCUAAUAAAUUUUAAGCUCUUUUUAAAAUCAAUUUUCAUUAUUUUUAUUAGAAAAGUUAAUUUCCCCACUUUAUAUAUUUAAAUAAAAAUGGAAAUAAGAAAUACUAGUUAAAAGGAUUUUUUUUUUCUGAUAAAAUUGGCAAGAAAAGUUCAACUUUCCUAUCAACAAUAUCAAGUGUUGGUAAGAUCAUGGGAAAUGGACAUUUCCUAGGCUGCUGGUGGGAACUUGAGUGAUAUUACUACUUAGAAGGGAAUUGGGCAAUAUAUAUAAACAUUAAAAACUGUUCUAUAAUCUAGAAUCCAUUUCUAGUUAUGGGUUUAGA
This 1255-nucleotide long non-coding RNA is filed under the name Homo sapiens (human). Its description in RNAcentral is "HSALNT0330770". Lineage: Eukaryota; Metazoa; Chordata; Mammalia; Primates; Hominidae. The record is from RNAcentral.